UGGGAACAUACCCUUUGGUUCGGAAUAACUCAGGGAAACUUGAGCUAAUACCGGAUAAGCGCGAGAGCGGAAAGAUUUAUCGCCGAAGGAUUGGCCCGCGUCCGAUUAGCUAGUUGGUGAGGUAAUGGCUCACCAAGGCGACGAUCGGUAGCUGGUCUGAGAGGAUGAUCAGUCACACGGGAACUGAGACACGGUCCCGACUCCUACGGGGGGCAG
This 216-nucleotide ribosomal RNA is filed under the name uncultured bacterium. RNAcentral describes it as "partial 16S ribosomal RNA". It matches the Rfam family "Bacterial small subunit ribosomal RNA", at positions 118 to 351 of the family's 1533-position model. The record is from RNAcentral.